This 465-nucleotide ribosomal RNA is filed under the name uncultured Klebsiella sp. Its description in RNAcentral is "bacterial SSU rRNA". It matches the Rfam family "Bacterial small subunit ribosomal RNA", at positions 338 to 795 of the family's 1533-position model. Lineage: Bacteria; Pseudomonadati; Pseudomonadota; Gammaproteobacteria; Enterobacterales; Enterobacteriaceae. The record is from RNAcentral.
CCUACGGGGGGCUGCAGUGGGGAAUAUUGCACAAUGGGCGCAAGCCUGAUGCAGCCAUGCCGCGUGUGUGAAGAAGGCCUUCGGGUUGUAAAGCACUUUCAGCGGGGAGGAAGGCGGUGAGGUUAAUAACCUCAUCGAUUGACGUUACCCGCAGAAGAAGCACCGGCUAACUCCGUGCCAGCAGCCGCGGUAAUACGGAGGAUGCAAGCGUGAAUCGGAAUUACUGGGCGUAAAGCGCACGCAGGCGGUCUGUCAAGUCGGAUGUGAAAUCCCCGGGCUCAACCUGGGAACUGCAUUCGAAACUGGCAGGCUAGAGUCUUGUAGAGGGGGGUAGAAUUCCAGGUGUAGCGGUGAAAUGCGUAGAGAUCUGGAGGAAUACCGGUGGCGAAGGCGGCCCCCUGGACAAAGACUGACGCUCAGGUGCGAAAGCGUGGGGAGCAAACAGGAUUAGAUACCCCUGUAGUC